AGUGAACGCUGGCGGUAGGCCUAACACAUGCAAGUCGAACGGCAGCACAGUAAGAGCUUGCUCUUACGGGUGGCGAGUGGCGGACGGGUGAGGAAUACAUCGGAAUCUACUUUUUCGUGGGGGAUAACGUAGGGAAACUUACGCUAAUACCGCAUACGACCUACGGGUGAAAGCAGGGGAUCUUCGGACCUUGCGCGAUUGAAUGAGCCGAUGUCGGAUUAACUAGUUGGCGGGGUAAAGGCCCACCAAGGCGACGAUCCGUAGCUGGUCUGAGAGGAUGAUCAGCCACACUGGAACUGAGACACGGUCCAGACUCCUACGGGAGGCAGCAGUGGGGAAUAUUGGACAAUGGGCGCAAGCCUGAUCCAGCCAUACCGCGUGGGUGAAGAAGGCCUUCGGGUUGUAAAGCCCUUUUGUGGGGAAAGAAAAGCAGCAGGUUAAUACCCCGCUGUUCUGACGGUACCCAAAGAAUAAGCACCGGCUAACUUCGUG
RNAcentral lists this ribosomal RNA (492 nucleotides) under uncultured bacterium. RNAcentral's name for it is "partial 16S ribosomal RNA". It matches the Rfam family "Bacterial small subunit ribosomal RNA", at positions 29 to 507 of the family's 1533-position model. The record is from RNAcentral.